This is a non-coding RNA of Triticum aestivum (bread wheat), 134 nucleotides long. NCBI's taxonomy places the organism in Eukaryota, Viridiplantae, Streptophyta, Magnoliopsida, Poales, Poaceae. The record is from Rfam.
GUAGUACACCCUCCAUCUGGAAAUACUUGUCAGCAAAAUGAAUAAAAGGGGAUGUAUCUAGAUGUAUAUUAGUUCUAGAUACAUCUUUUUUAUCCAUUUUGAUGACAAGUAUUUUCGGACGAAGGGAGUACUUG